Dalotia coriaria is the source of this 1641-nucleotide long non-coding RNA. RefSeq lists it as uncharacterized. The record is from RefSeq and is a predicted model, not a curated record. NCBI's taxonomy places the organism in Eukaryota, Metazoa, Arthropoda, Insecta, Coleoptera, Staphylinidae. The transcript is spliced from 2 exons.
CAGAAUAAAAUUGCAGCAAAAGUUUUUUUUCACACAUGGAUAUUUACGUAAUGUUUAAACAAGAUUAAACUACUCAGCGCAUGGUCAUUCGACUACAUUCAUGACUUUGCUUCAUCGUUUACGUCACACGCCAAUGUGUGACGACCGAAAGUGCUAAAAGUUAACUAAUGUUAAUCAAAUAUGUAAAUUUGUCAGUGUUCAGGCGGUGCGAGCGCGAGCUCUCGCUCGAAUCCAGCGUAUUAGUUUUUCUCGACAACGCAAACAUCGAUUUUAGAGGUGCUUCUUCGAAGCCAUGUGCAAAUUGUCGCAAGAAUUCAAAUUAUUGAAUACUUAACAAUACUUAACUACACUUAGUUUGUGCUUGACAUUUACUAAGAGCUCCGCCUAUAUUGGCUGCGCGCAGGUCACAAUUUCAAACUUGCGCAUGCGCAAUUAUCACAACAUAACAAUGCGUUAAUUUUUCACAUUAUUAUUAACAUUUUUUGCCCCAACUGCGUUUUACAUUUUGUCAUGAAUUAUUCUAUUGUGCGUUAUUUAUGUUAUGCAGUCCGCUGGCGUGAGUCACGGCGCAUGGAAGGAAAACGCCAUAUAGAUAAUGGACGACACAUAAAUUUCCAUUUAUUUCCAUUUUGUGCGCCGCGCGUCCGUCCCGACAAAUGGGUAGGUAGGUAGGUAGGCGAAGAGGCGACUAGGUAACUCGGCGACUCGUGCCCGCAGAAAAGCAACAGAACCAACAAGGCAAAACCAGAAACGAGAAUCGCGCACGCAAAAGAAACACAACGCGAAAACGAAACAAAACACAAUGCGUGAGUGUGCGCGAAAGAAGAGUCAAAGCCACGACGUCAUCAGAUAAUUUUUUCCAUUGUGCUCCGCAUUGAAAAGCGAAACCGAGCAAAGAAUAUGAGAAAAGCACGCGCGAAAAGAGAAAACCACCAAACGCAAAAAGUUCAAGUACGUUCACGACGAGCGCACGACUUGAAAAACUAGAGCAACGACCAAAUUCAUUAUUUCGCCAAAAAGUCACGCAGCCAGCCAAACACAAUGAAAACGAAGAUCGCGCCGUGCCUUCGCCAAAGAAAUCGAAAACAAAGGAAGAAAUCGAGAAAUUAAAAGCGAAACACAAAAAAGAAGGCGAAUGAGAAGCGGAAUCGCGAAAUAAAGGAAGAACAGCGACGCGAGCAUAAAACAAUACGGAAUACGGAAUAAACUCGCGCCUUCUUCUUCUUCAUUGAAAGCACCAAACAAAACACAACCAACAACAAAUGCGCGCUCGCGCGCGACUCACAUCAUGGCGAAUCCGCAUGAAUCGCUACUAAAAUAUAAUAACAAGGUUACGUAACUGUUAACUUCUCGCCGUUUUUACUUUGUGCUCUCAUCCUCUCUUCGGAACGAUGUCGAGCGUUGUUUAUAUCUGCGCGUUUCGACGAUUUCGAUUUCGAUAACCUAAAUUACUCUUAAAGUCUUACCUUUUUUUCGCUCUCAACUUUUGCUUUUGUUUUCUCAGCAAACACACAACACAAUUUUAAUAAAAAUAAAUUUCCCCGACAGAAAGUUUAAUUUCUAGGAAUACCGUCAACAUUUUCUUUUCACGCUCCUCCAAUCGUUAAUUAUAGAUUUAUAAUAAAGUGUUGCUUAAAGUUC